AUAUAUGCUCGGCCUUUUGGCUAAGAUCAAAGGGUAGUAUCUGUUCUUAUCAGCUUAACGUCUGAUACGGUCACUAUUUGGGAUCAGCGAUAUUAAACUGAUUUUUAGAAGGAGACGAAGUGUUAGGGCUUGCUCCGCAUUUGCGACGGGUUGGCCUGGUAUUGCAGUGCUUCCAGGGUUCAGUCCAUCUUUA
Non-coding RNA from Octopus bimaculoides (California two-spot octopus), 193 nucleotides. The record is from Rfam. Lineage: Eukaryota; Metazoa; Mollusca; Cephalopoda; Octopoda; Octopodidae.